Non-coding RNA from Brassica oleracea var. oleracea, 74 nucleotides. The record is from the annotation of a RefSeq genome assembly. Lineage: Eukaryota; Viridiplantae; Streptophyta; Magnoliopsida; Brassicales; Brassicaceae.
GGGGUGGUGGCGCAGUUGUCUAGCGCGUAGGUCUCAUAAUCCUGAGGUCGAGAGUUCGAGCCUCUCUCACCCCA